GGCACCAUGGUAUUCACCAGUAAGAAGAAAGAAAACCACAUCAGGUGUCAUAUGGCAUGAGAACAUUAUAGAAGUUCUUUGGCAAGAUACGUUGGAGUCCCUCUGGCCAUGGAGUUUUUUCUAAUCUUCCAUCUUAUCAUCUGUUACAACUUCAUUGCAAAAGGUGUGAAAGAGAGGGAAAUUAAGUUGGUAAAUAUUUCGAAGCCAAGUUUCUAA
This 216-nucleotide long non-coding RNA is filed under the name Ursus maritimus (polar bear). Its description in RNAcentral is "lncRNA (ENSUMAG00000014869.1)". The record is from RNAcentral. Lineage: Eukaryota; Metazoa; Chordata; Mammalia; Carnivora; Ursidae.